This 892-nucleotide ribosomal RNA is filed under the name Triangularia batistae. Its description in RNAcentral is "LSU rRNA". It matches the Rfam family "Eukaryotic large subunit ribosomal RNA", at positions 38 to 961 of the family's 3401-position model. Lineage: Eukaryota; Fungi; Ascomycota; Sordariomycetes; Sordariales; Podosporaceae. The record is from RNAcentral.
GCAUAUCAAUAAGCGGAGGAAAAGAAACCAACAGGGAUUGCCUCAGUAACGGCGAAGUGAAGCGGCAACAGCUCAAAUUUGAAAUCUGGCCUCGGCCCGAGUUGUAAUUUGUAGAGGAAGCUUUUGGUGCGGCACCGACCGAGUCCCCUGGAACGGGGCGCCAUAGAGGGUGAGAGCCCCGUAUGGUUGGACGCCUAUCCUCUGUAAAGCUCCUUCGACGAGUCGAGUAGUUUGGGAAUGCUGCUCAAAAUGGGAGGUAAAUUUCUUCUAAAGCUAAAUAUUGGCCAGAGACCGAUAGCGCACAAGUAGAGUGAUCGAAAGAUGAAAAGCACUUUGAAAAGAGGGUUAAAUAGCACGUGAAAUUGUUGAAAGGGAAGCGCUUGUGACCAGACUUGCGCCUCGUCGAUCAUCCGGGGUUCUCCCCGGUGCGCUCGGCGGGGCUCAGGCCAGCAUCGGUUCUCGCGGGGGGACAAAGGCUCCGGGAACGUAGCUCCUCCGGGAGUGUUAUAGCCCGGGGCGUAAUGCCCUCGCGGGGACCGAGGACCGCGCUUCGGCAAGGAUGCUGGCGUAAUGGUCAUCAGCGACCCGUCUUGAAACACGGACCAAGGAGUCAAGGUUUUGCGCGAGUGUUUGGGUGUAAAACCCGCACGCGUAAUGAAAGUGAACGUAGGUGAGAGCUUCGGCGCAUCAUCGACCGAUCCUGAUGUAUUCGGAUGGAUUUGAGUAGGAGCGUUAAGCCUUGGACCCGAAAGAUGGUGAACUAUGCUUGGAUAGGGUGAAGCCAGAGGAAACUCUGGUGGAGGCUCGCAGCGGUUCUGACGUGCAAAUCGAUCGUCAAAUCUGAGCAUGGGGGGCGAAAGACUAAUCGAACCAUCUAGUAGCUGGUUACCGC